Molecule: long non-coding RNA, 2386 nt
Organism: Thunnus maccoyii (southern bluefin tuna)
Lineage: Eukaryota; Metazoa; Chordata; Actinopteri; Scombriformes; Scombridae
Exons: 4
Source: RefSeq, a predicted model, not a curated record
GAGUUUUUAAAGGAAAAAUCCACCGGUCCAGUGACCAAGGAGUGGGUGGAUGGUUGCCUGGCCCCCACAUGAGGAGGUGGACAAAACAUCAGACAUAAUGGACAAGGUUAUCAAAAAAUGGAGAGAUUCGUGUGAGGCAUCGGACUUAAAUUCAGAUGUGGAGGGAGAGAAGAAGACUAGCCAUCUCAAGACAGGCGAGCAAGGUCCACACCCAGGGCAACCUACCAGGUUUCAGCAUCUUCCUCGAGAUCCAGGGUCUGGCCAACAGGGUGGUUAGUUCCUGCUCAAUGCAUACGUACGUUUUUAACGGGACAGCAAGAUUCCUAGAAUAUUUCUGUAUAAUCAUAAUAAUAUUAAUUUGUCUUACCAUUCUCUUACUGCUUUUAUAUCAAACAGUUAUUGAAAAAGCUGUAUUGGAAGCCCUGAGUGAGGUGCAGCUCCAGCACCAAACAGCCAUGGUACAAACCCUACAGGCAGGAAGUGAAAGGAGGCUGCAGUUCCCACCUGAGGAGGAGGAUAUCGAUGUUCAGCUUCCUCUCCAGUCACUUGAAGAAUCACAUGACUUACUUGAUGAGAAGCUGAAAAACACCUCCACAAAAAAAACAAACUGGUGAUGAAUCCAAUAUGUAUAGAGAGCAACAACCUAUUUCAUAGCCUUUCUCCUUAGUAUAUCACUUCCUCUAUACUGCAUUAAUUAACACUUUGUAUUUUUACAAAGUAUUUUUAAUUUGAACAUUACCUGCAGUGUUUCUUCUGAAACCAAGAAAUUAUAAUAGAUUGGCAUGGACGACUGAGAGGAUUUUUAUCUUGUUCAUAGAGUAGUUGACCAGCUAAAAUAUCUUUUCUUUUCUUUUCUUUUUUUUCUUCCACAACUUUGGUCUUAUUUCUGUUUUUUUUGCUUCCUACCUAAUCGGUCAUGACAACACUGUUCUCAUCUGCUUCACUGAAGAGACACAGGGUUAUGAGUAAAGAGCUUUAAAGUGGUGAAGCGGGGCAAAGAUCAAAAACCUCAGACAAGUCUAAAGCCCCUAAAAGGACUUUCUGAAUCUUGACUGAGUUUAGCAGUUAUUGCAAACAUUAGUGAUAACAUUUCUCAGAUGGAUGACUGCAUUUGUUUUGGAGAGAAGACAGUUGUUGACAAGAUUUGUAGCAAUUUUUAGAGGGCUACAUGCUACAGGCUAUUGAUUGAUUGACAAUUUUAUUGCCCUUAACGGGAAUUAAUUCUGUACCAUACAGCAGUCUGUAGAUAAAUAACACCCAUCACCAAAACAACAACAACAACAGCAGCAGCAUAUUGAUGAAUUCCCAACACAGCCUACAACAAGUGCAACGUCUACCAAGUACCACACAAUAACAGCAGCAAGUUCACGUGUUUGCUAAAUAAACAGUGGAAAAAAUCCUCACAGGAGCUUUAAAUCAGUCCACCGUAACCCAAUCAUCUUAACCAUAGAUUUGGAAGUCAAAGCACCGGGUAAGUGAUUACCUCAGAUUUAUCUCUACAAUUAAGUUGGUCUAUUAAAUUUUAUCAUAAGCCAAAAGAAUGAUGUCAAACCCACAGAAAUAACACCUAGGUUUUAAAGAACUCGAUUUUUUCUUUUAUCUCAACACUUCCAAUGGUGUCCUCUGAGCUAACCUUGUAAUAUACUCCUCUAAAGCUGUAGAUAGUGGUCUACCAUGUAUGCUCUCUAUCUAUACUCCUCAUUCUAGCCUACAAAGUCUAUACUUGGUCAGUCUCAGUCACAACUUACCAUUUAUCUGUAGGGCUCUACUGCAAAUCCACUCUGAAAGAGAAAAAAAUAUCAAUAAUUGGAUAUAUAAGAAUGAGCUUUUGUGCGCUUUUUCAUUGGUCAUCACAUGCUUCUGUAAUUAUGUAUGAUUUAUGUGAGAUUAACAAAUUCAUACACACACAUAAAACAACAAUAACAAAAAUGAUUUUUCAUUAAAAUAUGUAUUGGACAAUUGGAAUUGAGGGAAGGGCAGCGCCCCAGUGCCCUUAAUGGACCACACACCCCUGCCUGUAAAUUAACUGUGAGAUAAUGGUCUCCAGUCCAUCAAAUGGAAGGAAGUCAAUAAGCGGAAAUAGCUUCUAGUUUGUAUAAUUACAGUGGUGCUGCUUUAAACAAAGAUUAAAAAGAAUACUAACAUCAUUCUGAAACUGCUGAUCUGUAGGUUGUUGAUGUAUGACACUGCAGCUAAAAUUUACCUAAAAACCAUUAUAUUCACAGCAUCAGCAGUGCGUAGCGAGACCCUGACAAGGUGUUUCAGCAGUGGCUUCGUCUGACAAGUGACAGAUUGCACCCGAGGAGGCCUUAAUUUCUUUGUUUACUGUUGAUGAUUUAGACCUGUUGGACGCUUUAAAAAGAAAUAAAAUAAAUAAAGAAAAUUA